UAGGAUAGCCUGCACAUCCCAUUGAUGAAUC
RNAcentral lists this non-coding RNA (31 nucleotides) under Homo sapiens (human). Lineage: Eukaryota; Metazoa; Chordata; Mammalia; Primates; Hominidae. The record is from RNAcentral.